Molecule: transfer RNA, 72 nt
Filed under: Camelus ferus (Wild Bactrian camel)
Lineage: Eukaryota; Metazoa; Chordata; Mammalia; Artiodactyla; Camelidae
Rfam family: tRNA
About the family: Transfer RNA (tRNA) molecules are approximately 80 nucleotides in length. Their secondary structure includes four short double-helical elements and three loops (D, anti-codon, and T loops).
Source: Rfam by way of RNAcentral
AGGGAAAUAGCUCAGUGGUAGUGCACAUGCUUAGCAUGCACAAGGUCCUGGGUUCUAUCUCCAGUAUCUCCA